UGGGGAAUUUUGGACAAUGGGCGAAAGCCUGAUCCAGCAAUGCCGCGUGUGUGAAGAAGGCCUUCGGGUUGUAAAGCACUUUUGUCCGGAAAGAAAUCCUUGGCUCUAAUACAGUCGGGGGAUGACGGUACCGGAAGAAUAAGCACCGGCUAACUACGUGCCAGCAGCCGCGGUAAUACGUAGGGUGCAAGCGUUAAUCGGAAUUACUGGGCGUAAAGCGUGCGCAGGCGGUUUGCUAAGACCGAUGUGAAAUCCCCGGGCUCAACCUGGGAACUGCAUUGGUGACUGGCAGGCUAGAGUAUGGCAGAGGGGGGUAGAAUUCCACGUGUAGCAGUGAAAUGCGUAGAGAUGUGGAGGAAUACCGAUGGCGAAGGCAGCCCCCUGGGCCAAUACUGACGCUCAUGCACGAAAGCGUGGGGAGCAAACAGGAUUAGAUACCCUGGUAGUCCACGCCCUAAACGAUGUCAACUAGUUGUUGGGGAUUCAUUUCCUUAGUAACGUAGCUAACGCGUGAAGUUGACCGCCUGGGGAGUACGGUCGCAAGAUUAAAACUCAAAGGAAUUGACGGGGGUCAUAGCUGUUUCCU
Molecule: ribosomal RNA, 586 nt
Filed under: uncultured bacterium
Lineage: Bacteria
Description: partial 16S ribosomal RNA
Rfam family: Bacterial small subunit ribosomal RNA
Source: RNAcentral